This 242-nucleotide unclassified non-coding RNA is filed under the name Pasteurellaceae bacterium I26. RNAcentral's name for it is "partial RNaseP". Lineage: Bacteria; Pseudomonadati; Pseudomonadota; Gammaproteobacteria; Pasteurellales; Pasteurellaceae. The record is from RNAcentral.
AGCCACUGAGUCCCUGCUAGCCACUCUACUUGUAUGCUCAAGCAACCUACCCGAACUCUCGGCGGGCCACCGAUUGAGUUCCUAUUUGGUCUUGCUACGAGUGGAGUUUACCUUGCUGCCGAAUGUUACCACCGGCACGGUGUGCUCUUACCACACCCUUUCACCCUUACCUUUUUCCGAAGAAAACGGCGGUCUGCUCUCUGUUGCACUGGUCGUAGGCUGCACGCUCCCCCAAGACGUUA